This 271-nucleotide ribosomal RNA is filed under the name uncultured archaeon. Its description in RNAcentral is "partial 16S ribosomal RNA". It matches the Rfam family "Archaeal small subunit ribosomal RNA", at positions 477 to 747 of the family's 1478-position model. The record is from RNAcentral.
CAGCGCCACGAGUGGCAAUCGCGUUUAUUGGGCCUAAAGCGUUCGUAGCCGGUUUGGCAAAUCUUUUGUGAAAGCGUCAGGCUUAACUUGACGAGUUGCAGAAGACACUACUAAACUAGGGACCGGGAGGAGUUAGAAGUAUUCCGGGGGGACCGGUAAAAUGGUAUAAUCCCCGGAGGACUACCGAUGGCGAAGGCAUCUAACUAGAACGGAUCCGACGGUGAGGAACGAAAGCCAGGGGAGCAAACCGGAUUAGAUACCCGAGUAGUCC